AAAAUAUUUAAACAUAUGAGAAAAUCUAAUUCAACACAACGAUUCAACGAUAAAGAUGAAUUAAAGAUGCAAUUGCAAUUGGUGCCGCCGUGUAGGGUUCCACGUGUGGGAGACAUACAUAGAAUUGAGACCUCGACCUCGACCUCCACUGUUACUGUGAGAAGAAGAAGAAGAAGAAACGCAGUGACUACUGCAAUGAGAGCGGUGGUUCAGCGCGUGGCCUCUGCCUCCGUCGAGGUCGAAGGCCGCAUCGUCUCCGAGAUCGGCCCCGGCCUUCUCGUCCUCGUCGGAAUCCACGACUCUGAUUCCGACGCCGACGCCGAUUACAUAUGUCGAAAGGUCUUGAAUAUGAGGCUGUUCCCAAAUGAAAAUACGGGCAAAGCGUGGGACCACAGUGUAAUGCAGAAAAAUUAUCAAGUUUUGUUGGUGAGUCAGUUUACGUUGUAUGGAUUCCUGAAGGGUAACAAACCGGAUUUUCACGUUGCGAUGGCACCUCAGAGAGCCAAGCCAUUCUAUGCCUCUUUAGUUGACAGGUUUAGGAAUGCCUAUAACUCUGAUGCAAUCAAGGGGAUAAAAAAGGAACAGCAUUGGGAGAGGGGUGUUCGCAAACGUUGACAAGUGUACCGAUUCGUACAAGUAGUAUAAAACAACGGUGUAUUCGGAGCAAUGAUGAAGGUAGAUUUGGUUAAUGAUGGACCAGUUACCAUGCAGCUUGAUUCAAAUUCACCAAAUUGAUGCAGCAGAAUCUUGAUCAGCGGUUGAUCUGGCUUGAUGAAGUUGAGCUUGAAUUUUGACUCUUCCGUCAGAAAGACCAAAUGCAAGACAUUCGCAUUAUGUGUUUAUUCAUUCUAGUUGAAGUUCUUUGUUCCCCAAUGUAGUAGUGACCCCAUUUUGUAACACUAUUUAGUUCAAAGAAUGCCUUAGAUUGUCCCUGUUCGUUCUGCCAUAUGGGAAUAGAGUUUGGAUCCCUUUUGGACAAAACAAGCUAAUACUUGAUGACUACUUAUCUGGGUAACUGUUACUCUUAACUGGUUCCACCCAAAAUUGUUAAAUAACCAUUAUAAAACUGCCACCAUAAUGCUAUAACAUGGCAUUUUUCGACUCUUCUGCCAUAAGCAAUUUGUGAAUGGAGGCCGGACGGCACCAAUGGCUGCAAUGGCAUGUUUAUAUUUGGCCUUCUGCCAUAUUCCACUAUCUACCAUUGAUAACCUUGAUUCCACCAAUAAAGCUGUUGAAGGUUCCACUCCCUUCUUCCUAA
This is an RNA transcript of Glycine soja, 1258 nucleotides long. It is a transcript of the gene named D-aminoacyl-tRNA deacylase-like, with no coding region annotated. The record is from RefSeq and is a predicted model, not a curated record. NCBI's taxonomy places the organism in Eukaryota, Viridiplantae, Streptophyta, Magnoliopsida, Fabales, Fabaceae. The transcript is spliced from 7 exons.